This 427-nucleotide ribosomal RNA is filed under the name uncultured bacterium. Its description in RNAcentral is "partial 16S ribosomal RNA". It matches the Rfam family "Bacterial small subunit ribosomal RNA", at positions 355 to 774 of the family's 1533-position model. The record is from RNAcentral.
UGGGGAAUAUUGCACAAUGGGCGCAAGCCUGAUGCAGCCAUGCCGCGUGUAUGAAGAAGGCCUUCGGGUUGUAAAGUACUUUCAGCGGGGAGGAAGGUGUUGAGGUUAAUAACCUCAGCAAUUGACGUUACCCGCAGAAGAAGCACCGGCUAACUCCGUGACAGCAGCCGCGGUAAUACGGAGGGUGCAAGCGUUAAUCGGAAUUACUGGGCGUAAAGCGCACGCAGGCGGUCUGUCAAGUCGGAUGUGAAAUCCCCGGGCUCAACCUGGGAACUGCAUUCGAAACUGGCAGGCUAGAGUCUUGUAGAGGGGGGUAGAAUUCCAGGUGUAGCGGUGAAAUGCGUAGAGAUCUGGAGGAAUACCGGUGGCGAAGGCGGCCCCCUGGACAAAGACUGACGCUCAGGUGCGAAAGCGUGGGGAGCAAACA